GGGUGGGUUGGGGUAAAUGGGAGGUGGGAUGAGAAAGAAGUAAAAGUUUUAGGGGGAAAGUGAGAGGGAGUAAAAAUUUUGGGGGAAAAUAAAAAGUUUUGAGGGUUUUUGGGUGUAAAAUUUUAAGAAAAAGUAAAUGGGAGAGUAAAAUUUUUGUGGGAAAUAGAUUUUGGGUAGAUGGGGGAGUUGGGAUGGGAGGGGAGUAAAAGUUUUGGGGGGAAAGUGGGAAGGAGUAAAAGUUUUGAGAGAAAAAUAAAAAGGUUUGGGAGUUUGGGGUAAAAAUG
This 284-nucleotide long non-coding RNA is filed under the name Gossypium raimondii (Peruvian cotton). Its description in RNAcentral is "long non-coding RNA (GRAI_LNC005555)". The record is from RNAcentral. Lineage: Eukaryota; Viridiplantae; Streptophyta; Magnoliopsida; Malvales; Malvaceae.